RNAcentral lists this ribosomal RNA (492 nucleotides) under uncultured bacterium. RNAcentral describes it as "partial 16S ribosomal RNA". It matches the Rfam family "Bacterial small subunit ribosomal RNA", at positions 29 to 507 of the family's 1533-position model. The record is from RNAcentral.
AGUGAACGCUGGCGGUAGGCCUAACACAUGCAAGUCGAACGGCAGCACAGUAAGAGCUUGCUCUUACGGGUGGCGAGUGGCGGACGGGUGAGGAAUACAUCGGAAUCUACUUUUUCGUGGGGGAUAACGUAGGGUAACUUACGCUAAUACCGCAUACGACCUACGGGUGAAAGCAGGGGAUCUUCGGACCUUGCGCGAUUGAAUGAGCCGAUGUCGGAUUAGCUAGUUGGCGGGGUAAAGGCCCACCAAGGCGACGAUCCGUAGCUGGUCUGAGAGGAUGAUCAGCCACACUGGAACUGAGACACGGUCCAGACUCCUACGGGAGGCAGCAGUGGGGAAUAUUGGACAAUGGGCGCAAGCCUGAUCCAGCCAUACCGCGUGGGUGAAGAAGGCCUUCGGGUUGUAAAGCCCCUUUGUUGGGAAAGAAAAGCAGCAGGUUAAUACCCCGCUGUUCUGACGGUACCCAAAGAAUAAGCACCGGCUAACUUCGUG